RNAcentral lists this ribosomal RNA (425 nucleotides) under uncultured bacterium. RNAcentral describes it as "partial 16S ribosomal RNA". It matches the Rfam family "Bacterial small subunit ribosomal RNA", at positions 354 to 796 of the family's 1533-position model. The record is from RNAcentral.
GUGGGGAAUCUUGCGCAAUGGGCGAAAGCCUGACGCAGCCAUGCCGCGUGAAUGAUGAAGGUCUUAGGAUUGUAAAAUUCUUUCACCGGGGACGAUAAUGACGGUACCCGGAGAAGAAGCCCCGGCUAACUUCGUGCCAGCAGCCGCGGUAAUACGAAGGGGGCUAGCGUUGCUCGGAAUUACUGGGCGUAAAGGGCGCGUAGGCGGACAGUUUAGUCAGAGGUGAAAGCCCAGGGCUCAACCUUGGAAUUGCCUUUGAUACUGGCUGGCUUGAGUACGGGAGAGGUGAGUGGAACUCCGAGUGUAGAGGUGAAAUUCGUAGAUAUUCGGAAGAACACCAGUGGCGAAGGCGACUCACUGGCCCGUUACUGACGCUGAGGCGCGAAAGCGUGGGGAGCAAACAGGAUUAGAAACCCGUGUAGUCC